UACACACCGCCCGUCACAUCACGAAAGUGGUCCGUACUAGAAGCCGGUGCUCUAACCCGCAAGGGGAGAAGCCGUCCAAGGUAUGAAUCAUGAUUGGGGUU
This 101-nucleotide ribosomal RNA is filed under the name uncultured bacterium. Its description in RNAcentral is "partial 16S ribosomal RNA". It matches the Rfam family "Bacterial small subunit ribosomal RNA", at positions 1384 to 1482 of the family's 1533-position model. The record is from RNAcentral.